GGUUUUGCGCCUGUCCCAAGUCAGGAGCCUCUGGCCUUUGUUAGUCUUGUAUGAUUUUAAAUUUUAGUUUCUUGUGUAUAAUUCGGAGUUUAGUAUGACGUCCAUUAUCACUGUACUAUUAUGCAUAUUUUAGGGGCCAGCUGAAGGACACCUACGGGUGCGGGAAUUCUCGCUACAUUGAAGACCCAUUGGUUGCCUUCGGCUGUUGUUUGCUCUAUGGUCGGGUGGUUGUCGCUUUGACAUAUUCACCAUUUCCUUUCUCAAUUUUAUUUUACA
RNAcentral lists this long non-coding RNA (276 nucleotides) under Mytilus galloprovincialis (Mediterranean mussel). Lineage: Eukaryota; Metazoa; Mollusca; Bivalvia; Mytilida; Mytilidae. The record is from RNAcentral.